CACACGUAACCCCUCCCUCUACCACCUGUUCAUUCUGCAAUACGCCACGCUUAGCCUUCCUCACCGCCAAUCCCUCAUCCCAUAUACACCCAAGUCCCAACACACAGCACAAACAACAAAUAAACAAGUACAUGCACUGAUGCACAGAUACAUAUACAAAGAGAGAGACCCGAGAGAGCAGCAGAGCCCGGGAAGAGAGAAGAGAGGAGGGGCGACGCCAACGGAAGGGAAGCUUGCCGCCAUACCAUCACAUCACCGAACCGCCACUGAUAGGGUUUGGUUCCAUCAGGUCCUGCCGCCGCCAAGGGUUCCAUUUCCGGUUAGAUCCUCCGUCGUUGAUUCUGCCCGGACCACCGCCGUUGCUGGAAACCACCCCUGGAGCCGACCGCCAACACCAUCAAAAUCCUCCAAUUUCACCCCUGUACCAUUAUGGCUUGCCGCUGCAGUUUCUGUUUUGGGGUGAGCUGCCACCAACAGCGCCACUUUCAGUCUGAUUCCAAUUCCAUAAUUCAUAAAUCUUAUCGCUGAGUUCUGUUGGAAAUUGUCGCUGCUGCGAGCAUAGUCGGGGUUGAUGCCAUUGCUGCCGUUCCGGAUGGUAUGGGAGAUGCCGUUGCUGCUGUGAGCUCAGAUUAAGUGAAAUUGUCGCAUUUAAUCCCUAAGUUCAGUUAAUCGAGUGCCACAAGUCCGAAGACUCCAUUUGAAGCUGUGGGCGAUUAUUAAUUUUUUUUACUGUUGCCACUCUCGCCUUCCUGCCUCGAUCUUCUCUGUGGGUGUUGUGAUCCCGAUUCUUCCAUCUCCACCGUGUGACCUGUCUUUCUGUCCUUUUUCUCGGUUUCUCUCUGCACGGUGUUGGUGUCACUCUGAAAUCCUGGAUCUUCAACCCAGUUUUCUUUAUCCCCAUCCAGUUCGUGUUUCUGGAUCCUUUCUUGGAUUAUCCCAGUUUUCUCUAUAUGGGUACAUUGUGCAUCUAGGUGUCCGUCUUCCAUCGACGUUUUCUGUCCCGAACGACCCCUCAGAACAGUAUUGAUGAAGAUGUAUAAGAGAUCAAUUGAGAAUGGGGUUGAAAAGAAAGUUAUCGAUGAGAAAAAAAGUGAUUAGUUGAUAUUGAAUUAGUGUGGGUUGGUCUCAAAUUUAUCUUUUUUUGUGUGUAGCUUUUACUUUGUUUUUCAGCGUUCUUGGAGUUCCAGCUGAAUUCUUCUCCAUGAUUGAUAAAAGUUUGUAGCUUUUAUUUUAUUUUUAUCUAGCUCAAUCUUGAUAAAUUUGGUACUUAAAGGGGUGUUUUCAUUUACACUGGUAUGUGAUCAACUGAGAUUUGUGUUGGAACUAUUCCAAAAUCCAAAGGGCAUUGUGUUUGAAUUUGGAUGGCUUGAUUUGUUGGUUUGUUACCUUUUGGAUUGAUGCUUUUUUUUCUUCUGAUUGUUAGUUAAUUAUGUGUUUUGAGAAUCAAUUUUAUGCUUAUUAGUUUGUAGGAAUUCAUCAUUAACAUUAAUUAAAGCUAUGUUAGUACAUUUUCUAAGUUCUUCUUAUGAUUUGAUACAUGAUAAAUAGAUCACUCCCAAUUUGGAUUGCAGAAUAGUUCAAGUACUGCUAGAGGAUGGGAACGAACGAAUGGCACAUCGAAAGAAGAUCUAGCUUUGAAACUGAGUCGACUUCCAUCGACGUUUUUUGUCCCAAACGACCCCUCAGAACAAUGAAGAUGUAUAAGAGAUCAAUUGAGAAUGUUGCUGGUUUUGGAUCUGAAAAAGCAUGUAGGAAGCUGUUUGGACUCUGUGAUGUUAAACAUCACAAGUCAACCGAUUUACUCAUGCACCAACAAUCAUAAUUUUGAGCUGAUUCUUUGUCUAAUGGGGUCUUCUCUUUUGCAUCCUUGUCUAUGUGCUAGGGGUCGCCUUCUUGUUCUUUGCCUUGAUCAUGUGCAAAAUUCAGAUAGUGGUUCAAUGACAUUAUGUUCAAAAGCAAGAUCAUCAUCUCUACGAACUUCACCAUUUCAAUUGUUACAUAUGCUCCUAAACAGUUAUAAGGCAGCAGCCCCGAUGAUAAUAGUUCCGAUGGGAUCAAACUAGAUGAAAAUGAAGUAUGGCAGUUCCGGUUUGCUUAUGGCAAUACAUGGCAGGGAAUGGUACUUGCAAUCUGUCCUUAUCUUGAUCGUUACUUCCUGGCAUCAGCUGGCAAUACUUUUUAUGUUUGUGAUUUCCCAAAUGACAAUCCCCAAAGAGUGAGAAAGUUUGUGCAGGGAAGGACACGUUUCUUGGUAACAUCAUUGACUGUACAUUUCACUAGAAUCGCUGUUGGUGAUUGUCGUGAUGGUGUCAGCUUC
Non-coding RNA from Arachis ipaensis, 2317 nucleotides. The record is from RefSeq and is a predicted model, not a curated record. Lineage: Eukaryota; Viridiplantae; Streptophyta; Magnoliopsida; Fabales; Fabaceae.